CUCCCCUUCUCCCCCCUUUCGCAAGAUCACUCUGUUGAUUUUGAUCUAGGGAAUGAUCUUCAUGAUCACUCUGUUGUUUGAUUUUUUAUAAAUUAUAUAGAUUUUUUACAAAGAAUCUGGAUAUAGACCCACAUUCUCAUAUUCUUAUAGAUUUUUUAUUUGUGAGUAUAUUUUUAUUUUAUUUGGAUACCCAGUUUUAUAGAUUAUGUAGAUUUUUUAUUUAUAUAUAGAUUUUUUUAUAAAGGCUGUGAUCUGCAAGCUAUGGAACUCUCUCAAACUCUGUAACGAUCUGUAAUCUAUCAAACGAUCUGAGCUCUUCAACAUAGAUUUUUUAUUGAGGCUGUAAUCUGCAAGCUAUGGAACUCUCUCAAGCUCUGUAACGAUCUGAGCUCUUCAACACAAGUAUGUAAAUAUCUCUCUCUCAAACUCUGUUUUGUUGGGUUCAUCGACUGAUUAGGUUGAUUUAUAUUUCAUUUUUCAUUUUUUUAUCAUUGAGAAUUAUGUCGGGUUUUUAUUGGUGGUGAUUUUAUAUAUAUAUAUAUACAAACGCCUGCAUGCAUAUAUAUAUGAUGUACAUGAUGUGUUUUUAACUUCUGAUUAAGGGCGUAUGAAGGGUUUCGUAGGUAUUGAAUCUAUGCUUGGAUUGUUUAUUUAUGUUAAGGAUUAUGGGUAUUGAUCUAAUGGGAACCCAAUUUCAAAGAUCCAACAGUCACUUCUUUCAUUUGACGAUUCGGAUUUUCUCAAAACUUCACUGUUUUGUUGGGUUUAACUUCUGAUUAAGGGCAUAUGAGGGGUUUCGUAGGUAUUGAAUCUAUGCUUGGAUUGUUUGUUAAGGGUUAUGGGUAUUGAUCUGACGGGAAAAAAAUAAUUAUUUGUUUGUAAUUUUGUUGUGUGAUCUGUUUUUUUGGAAGGUUGAUGCUAGGUUUGUUGGACAUUCAUUCUAAAUGAGAAAUGGUUUUUAUUUGGUUUAA
Non-coding RNA from Camellia sinensis, 971 nucleotides. NCBI's taxonomy places the organism in Eukaryota, Viridiplantae, Streptophyta, Magnoliopsida, Ericales, Theaceae. The record is from RefSeq and is a predicted model, not a curated record.